CAAUCUUGCCCCAAGCCCCUGGGAGGAAGACUGCCCAAUGGAAGCCAAAAGAUAAUCGAGUCUUCAUUGCCGCAUAUGAGACCGUAAUAGUCGACGGGCACCAUAAUGGGACGUGCUUCACGAAACAUGGUUGGCACACGAUUGUCCAAUUGUUUAACGCCAACUCCGGGCACGAUUGGAGUAGGCAGCAGUUGAAGAAUCACUAGGAUUAUCUUCGAGUCAAGUAUAAAUGUCUCCAGGACUUGAUAGAAUGCACCGACAUCGCAUACGACUUUGCACGCGGUUGUCUAGUCGCGUCCGAUGAGUGGUCGGUGCGAAAGAUUAAGGUACAAAGCUACUUGAAUUGCCACUUUCCAAAUUUGGAUGUCAACCAACACUCUAGUAUUCAUUUUAUAUGUGCAUGGAACUUUUAUUCAAAAUGUCGCAGUUCGAGCAUCAUCUAUGCGCUAUAGGAUUUGGUAGACUAUUAGCAAAUAAUUGCAUAACCUUCGGAUUAAAAUUUUUUUGUAAUAUCAUAUAUCAUAAAAUUCAGUUUUGUAAUUCCGUAUUUUUAUUACUUACCCCGGCUCCUGACUCGUUGUGCAUUUCUUUUUCUUCCAUUCCAAACAGGUGAACAAAGAGCACAGAAAGUUCAAAGACAAAGACUGUAGAGAGAUAUACGCGUACCGGGUUCUGUUCGACGAUGCGUUCGACAACGAGAAGUACGCAACGACGCCGAUGAAGCUGUGUAAGAUCAGGUUCGCCAUGUUCAAAGACAGUGCAAAUGACGACACAUGCAACGCAACUUUGAUGUGCAAGAAGAGCAGCGGCUCAAGUGAUGAGGACAACAAGUUAGAUAGGCUUGCAUCAAGCAUAGACGUCUCCGACUAUAGAAGUUGAGAGAAACAUAGAUCCGACGGCAAUAAAAAUAAGGAAAAGAGAACUAAAAUAUUAGCUAAGGAAUUUUCGUACUCAAUUGACAGAGCCACAAGUUCAAGUGAGAAAGUUGCGGCGAAACUUGACAACUUAGUUGGAUCCAAUGUUUCGAACACAAAGACAUGUAUGAGGAGUUGUUCGCGAUGGGCAGACUGAAAAAAAAAAGUGAACUCUACCUUUGGACUUGCAUGUUUUUGUCUUUAAAGUGGAACUGGGAUGUUCUAGAGAUACAGGACGAAAGGGCAAAAUAAAUUUUUCCCCGUUGCGGAGGGUCUCUGCAGAACUUAUCCUUUGCUUUCGUUUUUUUCGUUUUCCUCAGUGAUCGAACCGUUAACUUUAGAAUUUUGUUGUUGUGUACUUUUUAAGAUUUUUUGUCUCCAUAUAUGUACUACCAACUAUUGAGAUUUCAUGUCCAUCUCUGUCGUUUGUACUUUUGCAAUGUUCACAAAGCUG
Molecule: long non-coding RNA, 1368 nt
Filed under: Olea europaea subsp. europaea
Lineage: Eukaryota; Viridiplantae; Streptophyta; Magnoliopsida; Lamiales; Oleaceae
Source: RNAcentral